Bos taurus (domestic cattle) is the source of this 264-nucleotide long non-coding RNA. The record is from Ensembl. Lineage: Eukaryota; Metazoa; Chordata; Mammalia; Artiodactyla; Bovidae.
AUCACGGCAUGCGCGGAUGGAGCCUCUCGCUGCGCGGGCGGACCUCCCUCCAAGAGCGACCCCUGGUCAUCAGUCAUCGGGGCCCCCAUCGCCUUCUGCGCAGCCGAUGGUUUCACCAGAUCCACGGGGCCUGGGUCCCAAGCUGCCCUUUUCCACAGGUAAACAACCGAGACAGCAUAUUCAAAAGCAGAGACAUUGCUUUGCCAACAAAGGUCCAUCUAGUCACAGCUAUGGUUUUCCCAGUAGUCAUGUGUGGAUGUGAGA